Long non-coding RNA from Salmo salar (Atlantic salmon), 2337 nucleotides. RefSeq annotates it as nicotinamide riboside kinase 1. Lineage: Eukaryota; Metazoa; Chordata; Actinopteri; Salmoniformes; Salmonidae. The record is from RefSeq and is a predicted model, not a curated record.
GCCGAAUAUGGAGUGUUGCUGAGCAACUAUCUUCAACUAUUCCCGUUACGGCUGGUAUGUACUUCCAAAAAAAAAAAGUAAAUAUAAAAGUGUUGAGGCAACCGAUAAAAAUGCUUAUUCGGCACAUCAGGUCGGAAGUCUACAACAGCUCAAUACAUUGGAUGUUCCGAAGAGGCAUUUUUUUUCAGUUGCUUGUACAUUUUUAUUUUGACAUACCGGCCGUAAAUGAAGAUAAUUGCUCAGCGAAACUCCAUAUUUGGUGAGGAAGGUAGGGUUUUCACUAACAACGAAUUCAUGAGAAGUUCCACCCCCAUUCAUUUUCAACGAGGGCACGCAGAGAAAUGAGCGGCGAGAACCCUGCUAGCGGAGCGGUAGAAAGUUGACCUCCGGCUCUACCUUUAUGCAAAGCGAAGAUUUGGAGCGAAGCACUGUCAAUAGGAGGCGCCGCUUCUGAUUUUGUCCCAGGACAGGGCAGCCAGGGGUCGUGCAUCAUGGAGUCCUUUAAAUGGUGACGUAUUAAUGCAGGAUCGCGAAUCCAUCGUCCUGCUGUGGAAUAGCGGAACCAUUAUCAGGCAAUGGACCUACUUUCAUAAAAGUUCUCUAACAUUAGACUUGUUUUUAUAAUUUCUCUAAAUUCUGCAAGAGGAGGUUUAUGUUACCCGCAUUUGUCAGCAAUUCAACUGGACCAUUUCACAACCUCUCAACUAGCUUCAGCCAUGAGGACCCUUGUCGUUGGAAUUGGAGGGAUGACCAAUGGGGGGAAGUCGACCAUGUCCAGUAGUCUGCACCUGCGGAUCCCCAACAGCUGCAUCAUAGCACAGGAUGCUUUCUUCAAGGAUGACUCUGUGAUAGCUGUGGACAGCAAUGGGUUCAAGCAGUAUGAUGUGCUUGAUGCGCUCCACAUGGACAGAAUGAUGAGCAAGAUUGAAUCAUGGCGGAAGGACCCCGGCUCAUUCCUGGCAUCUCAAAGUCUGAGAACACAAUGCUCUGUAGGAGAGGAGGUGUUUGUGCUCAUCGUUGAGGGCUUCUUGAUCUUCAACUACGGGCCCUUGAACGAAUUAAUGGACAAGAGAUACUUCCUUGAAAUUCCUUAUGACGUCUGCAAAGAGAGGAGAGGCUCGAGGGUGUAUACACCCCCUGACAUGCCAGGGUACUUUGACGGAUAUGUGUGGCCAAGGUACCUGAAAAACCGGCAAGAGAUGGAAGACAUGGUAUCGGAUAUUGUCUUUUUGGAUGGAUUGAAGUCAAAGGAGGACUUGCUGGAUUAUGUGCAUGGGGAUGUAACCAUGGAAAUACAGAGUCUCAUGGGGAAAGACUAAGCAGUUUGAUUUCUCAAACGGUUGCUGGAAUCUGGAAGAGUAAAAGAGACAAUGUGUUCAGAAACUGAUGUGUUGAAACUUAGACUAAUGUUUACAGCCACAAGAGAAAGACAGGACACACACACACACACACACACACACACACACACACACACACACACACACACACAGUGCAGAACAACCUUUCAUGUUAAAUCCAUGUUACUUUUACUCCAGUGAGGUAAAUCUUGUUUACAUAGUUUUUUAACUUAGAAAGUAUUUUUGCAAUCUAAAGUACAUUUGUUUUGUUCAAUCUAUAAUGGUUAUGUACAUAGUUAAGGAGUGCAAAGUCUAGAAGCAGUGCAGACUCUUGACUAGUUAAUAUGUGCGGCAGGUAGCCUAGUGGUUAGAGCGUUAGACUAGUAAACGAGAGGUUGCAAGAUCGAAUUCCCGAGCUGACAAGCACUCCUCCUAUGCAGGCAAUCAUUACACUGUUCAAAUAUGGGGGCUUGCCAGUACCAAACAAACAUGUCAAAGUUCAACCACUGACAAUCCCAAAUGAAGGACACCACCCGAUCCUGAGUAUAUAGACAGAUUUUGGUACAAAGAGCCCAUAGCUGCUGUCUAUAGAGUUACCAAGAUGAGGACAGCCUUGUGUUUGUGGAUCGUCAUGGCAGUGCUCUGCCCAGGAGAGGUCAAAGGUCAUAAAGGUCACGGAGGUGACCACCACCAUGGUCAGGGGCUUGACCAUGAUCACGGGCGCGAUAACGACCACGGGCACAGGCGAGACCACGAACACGGGCAUCAUGACCCUGAGCCCGGUGACAAUGGUACCAAACCAGUGGUACAAGGUAAUGGGGGGUUUGCCUUCAGCCUGUACAAGCAGCUGGUGGUUCAGCCUGACAACCAGGGCAAAAAUGUGUUCUUCUCCCCACUGAGUGUGUCCCUGGCCCUGGCUGCUCUUUCCGUGGGGGCCAGGGGUCAGACCCACCAGCAGCUCUUCACUGGUCUGGGCUUCAACAGCAGCCUACUGACACAA